GACGAACGCUGGCGGCGUGCUUAACACAUGCAAGUCGAACGGAAAGGCCCUGCUUUUGUGGGGUGCUCGAGUGGCGAACGGGUGAGUAACACGUGAGUAACCUGCCCUUGACUUUGGGAUAACUUCAGGAAACUGGGGCUAAUACCGGAUAGGAGCUCCUGCUGCAUGGUGGGGGUUGGAAAGUUUCGGCGGUUGGGGAUGGACUCGCGGCUUAUCAGCUUGUUGGUGGGGUAGUGGCUUACCAAGGCUUUGACGGGUAGCCGGCCUGAGAGGGUGACCGGCCACAUUGGGACUGAGAUACGGCCCAGACUCCUACGGGAGGCAGCAGUGGGGAAUAUUGCACAAUGGGCGGAAGCCUGAUGCAGCAACGCCGCGUGCGGGAUGACGGCCUUCGGGUUGUAAACCGCUUUCGCCUGUGACGAAGCGUGAGUGGCGGUAAUGGGUCAAGAAGCACCGGCUAACUACGUG
RNAcentral lists this ribosomal RNA (468 nucleotides) under uncultured bacterium. RNAcentral's name for it is "partial 16S ribosomal RNA". It matches the Rfam family "Bacterial small subunit ribosomal RNA", at positions 28 to 507 of the family's 1533-position model. The record is from RNAcentral.